CGAGUGGCGAACGGGUGAGUAAUACAUCGGAACGUGUCCGCUCGUGGGGGACAACCAGCCGAAAGGUUGGCUAAUACCGCAUGAGUUCUACGGAGAAAGAGGGGACCCGCAAGGGCCUCUCGCGAGCGGAGCGGCCGAUGACUGAUUAGCCGGUUGGUGAGGUAACGGCUCACCAAAGCAACGAUCAGUAGCUGGUCUGAGAGGACGACCAGCCACACUGGGACUGAGACACGGCCCAGACUCCUACGGGAGGCAGCAG
This 259-nucleotide ribosomal RNA is filed under the name uncultured bacterium. RNAcentral's name for it is "partial 16S ribosomal RNA". It matches the Rfam family "Bacterial small subunit ribosomal RNA", at positions 92 to 354 of the family's 1533-position model. The record is from RNAcentral.